UCAUUGAGUUCUUUUUAUCGUAUAAUUUAUUUAAAAUGAAAUAAAAUAAAAACAGAAAUAAAAUAAAGUGAUGUGGAUGUAAUUAAAGUGCGAAACAGCGGCGAAAACUCUUGAAGAUCUCGCAAGCAGUUGGACAACAGGACACCAAGCAAGAUUGAUCAAAUAGGAGCGCAGCGGAAACUACAAACUAUUAUUUAAAUUUUAAGAUAACUUUGGCUUGGGCGUUUGGACAUCUUCCUACAUAAUUCGUGUCCCUUACAUAUGUAUCGAAACUAUCCACGAUCCCAGUCGAUUUAUUAUCCAUCAUAUACCAACUCACUGGGCCGAUUGAAUUUGAUGGCCUGUCUAGUGAUAGUGUCAGUA
Hermetia illucens (black soldier fly) is the source of this 363-nucleotide long non-coding RNA. RefSeq lists it as uncharacterized. Lineage: Eukaryota; Metazoa; Arthropoda; Insecta; Diptera; Stratiomyidae. The record is from RefSeq and is a predicted model, not a curated record. The transcript has 3 exons.